Molecule: ribosomal RNA, 452 nt
Filed under: uncultured bacterium
Lineage: Bacteria
Description: bacterial SSU rRNA
Rfam family: Bacterial small subunit ribosomal RNA
Source: RNAcentral
AACGAACGCUGGCGGCAGGCUUAACACAUGCAAGUCGAGCGCAUCCUUCGGGGUGAGCGGCAGACGGGUGAGUAACGCGUGGGAAUCUACCCAUCUCUACGGAAUAACUCAGGGAAACUUGUGCUAAUACCGUAUACGCCCUUUUGGGGAAAGAUUUAUCGGAGAUGGAUGAGCCCGCGUUGGAUUAGCUAGUUGGUGGGGUAAAGGCCUACCAAGGCGACGAUCCAUAGCUGGUCUGAGAGGAUGAUCAGCCACAUUGGGACUGAGACACGGCCCAAACUCCUACGGGAGGCAGCAGUGGGGAAUAUUGGACAAUGGGCGCAAGCCUGAUCCAGCCAUGCCGCGUGAGUGAUGAAGGUCUUAGGAUUGUAAAGCUCUUUCAACGGUGAAGAUAAUGACGGUAGCCGUAGAAGAAGCCCCGGCUAACUUCGUGCCAGCCGCCGCAGUAAAAC